UACGUAGGGCGCAAGCGUUAUCCGGAAUUAUUGGGCGUAAAGAGCUCGUGGGCGGUGUGUCGCGUCGGCCGUGAAAACCUGCAGCUUAACUGUGGGCUUGCGGUCGAUACGGGCAUCACUGGAGUUCGGCAGGGGAGACUGGAAUUCCUGGUGUAGCGGUGAAAUGCGCAGAUAUCAGGAGGAACACCGGUGGCGAAGGCGGGUCUCUGGGCCGAUACUGACGCUGAGGCGCGAAAGCCAGGGGAGCAAACGGG
Molecule: ribosomal RNA, 254 nt
Filed under: uncultured bacterium
Lineage: Bacteria
Description: partial 16S ribosomal RNA
Rfam family: Bacterial small subunit ribosomal RNA
Source: RNAcentral